Molecule: non-coding RNA, 214 nt
Filed under: Caloranaerobacter azorensis
Lineage: Bacteria; Bacillati; Bacillota; Tissierellia; Tissierellales; Thermohalobacteraceae
Description: T-box sequence
Rfam family: T-box leader
About the family: Uncharged tRNA acts as the effector for transcription antitermination of genes in the T-box leader family. T-boxes are found upstream of many aminoacyl-tRNA synthetase genes and some amino acid biosynthetic genes usually in Gram-positive bacteria.
Source: RNAcentral
AUAAAUACUAUGAAGGAGAGGAGUAGUUAGAUCACUGAGCUAAAGAGAGCCGGUGAUGGUGGAAAUCCGGUGCUUAUAUCUAACGAAGACACUCUGGAGUAGAUAGCUUGAAAUUAAGUAGGGCUAUUCGCUAGACCGGCGUUAAUGGUAAUAAAGUGGGGUAUUAUUUAUCCAAUAAGGGUGGCACCGCGGGAUUUAACCUCUCGUCCCUGUC